UGCUUCCCUAGGCCACAUGCUUCUUUAUAUCCCCAUAUGAAUUACUUUGCUAUGGAAUGUAAGGAAGUGUGUGGUUUCGGCAAGUG
Molecule: microRNA precursor, 86 nt
Organism: Aotus nancymaae (Ma's night monkey)
Lineage: Eukaryota; Metazoa; Chordata; Mammalia; Primates; Aotidae
Source: Ensembl